RNAcentral lists this ribosomal RNA (468 nucleotides) under uncultured bacterium. RNAcentral describes it as "partial 16S ribosomal RNA". It matches the Rfam family "Bacterial small subunit ribosomal RNA", at positions 28 to 507 of the family's 1533-position model. The record is from RNAcentral.
AACGAACGCUGGCGGCAGGCUUAACACAUGCAAGUCGAACGGAGAGGCCCUGCUUUUGUGCGGUGGUCGGAUUGCGACCGGGUGAGUAACCCGUGAGUAACCUGCCCUUGACUUUGGGAUAACUUCAUGCAACUGGGGCUCAUACCGGAUAGGAGCUCCUGCUGCAUGGUGGGGGUUGGAAAGAUUCGGCGGUUGGGGAUGGACUCGCGGCUUAUCAGCUUGUUGGAGGGGUAGUGGCUUAGCAAGGCUUUGCCGGGUAGCCGACCUGGGAGGGUGACCGGCCCCAUUGGGACGGAGAUGCGGCCCAGACCACAACGGUACGCAGGAGUGGGGAAUAGUGCACUAGGGGAGGGAGGCAAAUGCAGCAACGCCGCGUGGGGGAAGACGGGCAUCGGGUUGGAAACCGCAUUCGCCUGAGACGAAGCGAGAGUGACGGUAACGGGUAAAGAAGCACCGGCUAACUACGUG